UACAGAGGGUGCGAGCGUUACUCGGAAUUACUGGGCGUAAAGCGUGCGUAGACGGUUAUUUAAGUCGGGUGUGAAAGCCCCGGGCUCAACCUGGGAAUUGCAUUCGAGACUGAAUAGCUAGGGUACGGUAGAGGGAAGUGGAAUUUCCGGUGUAGAGGUGAAAUUCGUAGAUAUUCGGCGGAACACCAGUGGCGAAGGCGACUCACUGGCCCGAUACUGACGCUGAGGCGCGAAAGCGUGGGGAGCAAACAGG
This 253-nucleotide ribosomal RNA is filed under the name uncultured bacterium. Its description in RNAcentral is "partial 16S ribosomal RNA". It matches the Rfam family "Bacterial small subunit ribosomal RNA", at positions 524 to 776 of the family's 1533-position model. The record is from RNAcentral.